Molecule: long non-coding RNA, 800 nt
Filed under: Homo sapiens (human)
Lineage: Eukaryota; Metazoa; Chordata; Mammalia; Primates; Hominidae
Description: HSALNT0293103
Source: RNAcentral
GAAGAGGUGCCUCCUGCCAUGACUGUAAGUUUUCUGAGGCCUCUCCAGCCAUAUGAAAUAUACUCUUGAAGUUCACACACAGAAUAUCCAUACCUUGCACACUAAGAAGAUGAAAAACUCUUGAUGUUAUUUCCAUUCGUGAACUCGUGGAAGAGCUUCCUGUUUAUAAAAAGAAAAUCAGAAGACAAGAGUCUCAUUCUGUCACCCAGGCUGUAACGCAGUGGCGUGAUCAUGGCUCACUGCAGCCUGGAACUCCUGGGCUCUGGUGAUCCUCUCACAUCAGCCUCCUGGGGUAGCUGAGACUACAGUACACCUCCCAAGAAGUUCUCUGGCUCAAAACACACGUAAACUGAAGAAAGAGAAGAAAAUGGGGAACGUUUUGCUAAAUAAUUCCACAAAAUAAACUCUGCUUUGACCCAGCUGAAGUGAAUUACUAGGUGAAUGUGUUUUGCAUACAAUUUUUCUUAAUAGAAAAAUCAAUUUCUCCCUGGCCCCAAGAAAUAAAUAUUGAAUAAAUAGUUGUUUAAAUAUCCUUUUUAAGGGGUGACAAAAUGUUAGCUUGCCUUGCAGGCCCUCAUUCUCAGCAUGCUCACGCAAGCCCCUGUGGUUUUUCAUACAUACUUUCCUCUCCAUGAAACAAGAUACAUUUCCCUCUUGCUAUUGCCUAUUCAGCUUAAAUAGCACUCCUUUAAGGAGACCUUCCAUCAUUUAUAUAUCAGGUAGGUUCCUCUCUAUACUCUUCUAUCUUUCUAUACUUCUCCUAUCAUUAUAUUGUGUAUCUGUCCUAUUUAUUGUAUAUU